Molecule: small RNA, 112 nt
Rfam family: Streptomyces RNA 4115
About the family: Identified by deep sequencing of transcriptome at the end of exponential growth phase. Sequencing size consistent with notrthern blot size. Streptomyces specific.
Source: Rfam
UCGUGGGUCGGCCCGCCGUCGAGGACCCGGCGGGCCGGGGGAUGCCGCCGCCUCAAUCCCCGCGGGCGGCGGUCAAGUCCGGGAGGGCAUGCGGAUGCCCUCCCGGGCGGGG